CCUACGGGUGGCAGCAGUGGGGAAUAUUGCACAAUGGGGGAAACCCUGAUGCAGCGACGCCGCGUGAGUGAAGAAGGAUUUCGGGAUGUAAAGCUCUAUCAGCAGGGAAGAAAAUGACGGUACCUGAUUAAGAAGCCCCGGCUAACUACGUGCCAGCAGCCGCGGUAAUACGUAGGGGGCAAGCGUUAUCCGGAUUUACUGGGUGUAAGGGGAGCGUAGACGGCAGCACAAGUCUGGAGUGAAAUGCCGGGGCUUAACCCCGGAACUGCUUUGGAAACUGUGCAGCUAGAGUGCAGGAGAGGUAAGUGGAAUUCCUAGUGUAGCGGUGAAAUGCGUAGAUAUUAGGAGGAACACCAGUGGCGAAGGCGGCUUACUGGACUAUAACUGACGUUGAGGCUCGAAAGCGUGGGGAGCAAACAGGAUUAGAUACCCGAGUAGUC
This 440-nucleotide ribosomal RNA is filed under the name uncultured bacterium. RNAcentral's name for it is "partial 16S ribosomal RNA". It matches the Rfam family "Bacterial small subunit ribosomal RNA", at positions 338 to 795 of the family's 1533-position model. The record is from RNAcentral.